UUAGUAGAGAGAGCAUGUGCUCCCUAAAAAUAGAACUUUUCAUCUAUGCGCUUCAGUUGAAAGCUACUGAGGACUGGACACAGUGGUUAGUCUUGGGACCAGUGCUAUUCAACAUCUUCAUCGCUGACACAGACGAUGGCAUCGAGUGCAUCCUCAGCAAGUUUGCAGAUGGACCUGGACAGGCUGGAGAACUGGGCCCAUGUGAAACUAAUGAAGUUCAACAAGGCCAAGUGCAAGGUGCUGUUCUUGGGCUGGGGCAAUUCCAGGUAUUUCUACAAACUGUGGGAAGAUCUCCUUGAGAGCAGUCCUGCGGAAAAGGACUUGUGGGUCCUGGUGGACAAGAAGCUGGAUAUGAGCCAGCAGGGUGUGCUUGCAGCCCGGAAGGCCAACUGUGUUCUCGGCUGCAUUGAAAAAGGGGUGGCCAGCAGGGAUAGGGAGGUGAUUAUCCCCCUCUACUCAGCUCUUGUGAGGCCCCAUCUGGAGUACUGCGUCCAGGCCUGGGGCCCCCAGCCCAAGAAAGAUGUGGAACUCUUGGAAUGGCUCCAGAGGAUGGCCUCUAAGAUGAUCAAAGGGCUGGAGCACCUCUCCUGUGAGGAAAGGUUGAGGGAACAGGGCUUGUUUAGCUUGGAGAAGAGAAGGCUCCAGAAUGACCUCACUGUGGCUUUCCAAUAUUUGAAGGGAGUGUGUAAACAGAAAGGGGAGCGACUGUUUAUGAGUUGAUACUGAUAGGACAAGGGGGAACGGUUUUAAAACUGAGACAGGGGAGGUAAAGGUUAGAUAUUAGAAGGAAGUUUUUCACACAGAGGGUGGUGUCACACUGGAACACGUUGCCCAAGGAGGUUGUCAAUGCCCCAUCCCUGGAGGCAUUCAAGGCCAGGCUGGGUGUGGCUCUAGGCAGCAUGGUCUAGUGGCUGGCAACUUUAAAAUAUGAUGUAGAGUGGCUUGGCAGCCACAUUAACCUAUUCCUUCAGGACCCGGGGAUGCAUGUCAUCUUUCCCCAUACACUUGUAUAAAUUUGGUCUCAUAAGCUGGUCUUGAACUUUCUCUUUGCUUACAGUGGGAUAGAUUUUGCUCCUCCACCUCCUGCCAAAGGGUUCAGGUACAUGAGAGAUGUGGGAAGCCUGAG
This is a long non-coding RNA of Gallus gallus (chicken), 1126 nucleotides long. NCBI's taxonomy places the organism in Eukaryota, Metazoa, Chordata, Aves, Galliformes, Phasianidae. The record is from Ensembl.